ACCAUGUUGGCCAGGCUGGUCUCAAACUCCUGACCUCAGGCAAUCUGCCCACCUUGGCCUCCUAAAGUGCUGGGAUUAUAGGCAUGAGCCACCACGCCUAGCCUGUAUAUCUUCUUUGAUGAAGUGUCUGUUCAGGUCUUUGGCCCAUUUUUUGAUUGGGUUGUUUAUUUUUUUUUAUUGUUUAGUUUUGAGAGUUCUUUGUAUAACAAAUUCUUUUGGAUAAUAGACCUUUGUCAGGUGGGUGUUUUUCAAAUAUUUUCCCCCAGUCUUUGGUUUUUCUUCUCAUCCUCUUGACAUUGUCUUUGAGUAGUAGACAAUUUGAAUUUUAGUGAAGUUCAGGUUAUCAGUUCUUUCUUUCUUGGGUUAUGUCUUUGGUGCUAUAUCUAAAAAACCAUUGCUCUAAUCAAGAUAAUUUAGGUUUUCUCCUAUGCUAUCCUCUAGAAGAUAUAAGGUCUGGUCUUGAUUCUUUUUUUUUUUUUUGCAUGUAGAUAUUCAGUUAUUCCAGCAACAUUUGUUCAAUCCAUCGUAUUGCCUCUGCUCUUUCUGUUAAUUUUCAGAAGUGAAACUGGUUGAUAGUUGUUUUCUCGUACAGUCACCUGCCCUUACCUGUAGUUUUGCUUUCUACAAUUUCAGUUGCCCGCAGUCAACCAGGGUCUGAAAAUAUUACAUACAAUAAGGUAUUUUGAAAGAGAGAGAGAGACCAUAUUCAUAUAGCUUCUAUUAAAGUAUAUUGUAUAAUUGUUCUUAUAAUUCUUUUUUUUUUUUUUUUGACAUGAAGUCUCGCUGUUGUCCCCCAGGCUGGAGUGCAAUGGCACGAUUACGGCUCACUGCAACCUCUGCCUCCCGGGUUCAAGCGAUUCUCCUGCCUUAGCCUCCCGAAUAGCUGGGAUUACAGGUGCCUGCCGCCACGCCUGGCUAAUUUUUGUAUUUUUAGUAGAGAUGGGGAUUCACCAUGUUGGCCAGGCUGGUCUCGACCUCCUGACCUCAGGGGAUCUGCCCGCCUUGGCCUCCCAAAGUGCUGGGAUUACAGGCAUGAGCCACUGCUCCCGGCCUGUUCUUAU
RNAcentral lists this long non-coding RNA (1061 nucleotides) under Homo sapiens (human). Its description in RNAcentral is "non-protein coding lnc-E2F6-2:1". The record is from RNAcentral. Lineage: Eukaryota; Metazoa; Chordata; Mammalia; Primates; Hominidae.